CUACCAGGGUUUCUAAUCCUGUUUGAUACCCACACUUUCGAGCCUCAGCGUCAGUUGCAGCCCGGACACCUGCCUUCGCGAUCGGAGUUCUUCGUGAUAUCUAAGCAUUUCACCGCUACACCACGAAUUCCGGCAUCCCUGUCUGCACUCAAGAUCGCCAGUUUCAACGGCAAUGUAUGGUUGAGCCACACCCUUUAACCGCUGACUUAACAAUCCGCCUACGCUCCCUUUAAACCCAAUAAAUCCGGAUAACGCCUGGACCUUCCGUAUUACCGCGGCUGCUGGCAC
Molecule: ribosomal RNA, 288 nt
Filed under: uncultured Bacteroidales bacterium
Lineage: Bacteria; Pseudomonadati; Bacteroidota; Bacteroidia; Bacteroidales
Description: partial 16S ribosomal RNA
Source: RNAcentral